Molecule: ribosomal RNA, 253 nt
Filed under: uncultured bacterium
Lineage: Bacteria
Description: partial 16S ribosomal RNA
Rfam family: Bacterial small subunit ribosomal RNA
Source: RNAcentral
UACGAAGGGGGCUAGCGUUGCUCGGAAUCACUGGGCGUAAAGCGCACGUAGGCGGCUUUUUAAGUCAGGGGUGAAAUCCUGGAGCUCAACUCCAGAACUGCCUUUGAUACUGAGAAGCUUGAGUCCGGGAGAGGUGAGUGGAACUGCGAGUGUAGAGGUGAAAUUCGUAGAUAUUCGCAAGAACACCAGUGGCGAAGGCGGCCGCCUGGAUCGAUACUGACGCUGAGGUGCGAAAGCGUGGGGAGCAAACAGG